GUUUACUGCUGAAGACUCCACGUGCCUGGCCUGCAAGGGUCACUGAGAAAUCAAGAUGGAGCUGAGCUGAAAAC
Molecule: small nucleolar RNA, 74 nt
Organism: Jaculus jaculus (lesser Egyptian jerboa)
Lineage: Eukaryota; Metazoa; Chordata; Mammalia; Rodentia; Dipodidae
Product: small nucleolar RNA SNORD66
Exons: 1
Source: RefSeq, a predicted model, not a curated record